Molecule: ribosomal RNA, 474 nt
Filed under: Mycobacterium sp. Site4-B5
Lineage: Bacteria; Bacillati; Actinomycetota; Actinomycetes; Mycobacteriales; Mycobacteriaceae
Description: bacterial SSU rRNA
Rfam family: Bacterial small subunit ribosomal RNA
Source: RNAcentral
GACGGAAGGCCCUUCGGGGUACUCGAGUGGCGAACGGGUGAGUAACACGUGGGUGAUCUGCCCUGCACUUUGGGAUAAGCCUGGGAAACUGGGUCUAAUACCGAAUAUGACCGCACACUUCCUGGUGUGUGGUGGAAAGCUUUUGCGGUGUGGGAUGGGCCCGCGGCCUAUCAGCUUGUUGGUGGGGUAAUGGCCUACCAAGGCGACGACGGGUAGCCGGCCUGAGAGGGUGACCGGCCACACUGGGACUGAGAUACGGCCCAGACUCCUACGGGAGGCAGCAGUGGGGAAUAUUGCACAAUGGGCGCAAGCCUGAUGCAGCGACGCCGCGUGAGGGAUGACGGCCUUCGGGUUGUAAACCUCUUUCAAUAGGGACGAAGCGCAAGUGACGGUACCUAUAGAAGAAGGACCGGCCAACUACGUGCCAGCAGCCGCGGUAAUACGUAGGGUCCGAGCGUUGUCCGGAAUUACUGG